Molecule: long non-coding RNA, 310 nt
Filed under: Zostera marina
Lineage: Eukaryota; Viridiplantae; Streptophyta; Magnoliopsida; Alismatales; Zosteraceae
Description: long non-coding RNA (ZMAR_LNC000797)
Source: RNAcentral
CAGCAGUACACUCUCCACCACCUCCGCCAGUACACUUGUCAUCUCCGCCAUCGCUACCUCAACCGCCGGUUCAUUUACCGCAACCACCAGUACAGUCACCUCCACUCCCAGUUCAUUCUCCACCUCCACCUGUUCACUUACAACCGUCUCCUGAACACUCACCCCCACCUCCGCCACCAGUGUUCUCACCGCCACCCCCAGUUUACUCACCAGUUCCACCGCCAGUUUACUCACCGACACAACCGCCAGUUUACUCACAGGCGCCUCCGCCUGUUAAUUCACCGCCACGACCGACACUUAACUCACCGAC